AUUAUUUGCUUGGGACGAAUUAGA
This 24-nucleotide small nuclear RNA is filed under the name Arabidopsis thaliana (thale cress). Its description in RNAcentral is "snRNA_06564". Lineage: Eukaryota; Viridiplantae; Streptophyta; Magnoliopsida; Brassicales; Brassicaceae. The record is from RNAcentral.